This 247-nucleotide ribosomal RNA is filed under the name uncultured archaeon. RNAcentral describes it as "partial 16S ribosomal RNA". It matches the Rfam family "Archaeal small subunit ribosomal RNA", at positions 691 to 937 of the family's 1478-position model. The record is from RNAcentral.
CCGACGGUGAGAGACGAAAGCUGGGGGAGCAAACCGGAUUAGAUACCCGGGUAGUCCCAGCCGUAAACGAUGUGCGUUAGGUGUAUCGGUGACCACGAGUCACCGAGGUGCCGAAGAGAAAUCGUGAAGCGUACCGCCUGGGAAGUACGGUCGCAAGGCUGAAACUUAAAGGAAUUGGCGGGGGAGCACCACAACAGGUGGAGCCUGCGGUUUAAUCGGACUCAACGCCGGAAAACUCACCAGAUAA